AGCAGCUGUGGGUGAACUAUGGGUCAGUGAAGUGCUUCAGACAACCUGGUGUGAGAUACAACACAGAGGAUGAGCGUCGAAUUUUUAGAGUUUCCAGAAACAUGUUUAUAAAAAGAACUAAACGACUUGCCAACUUCGAAACAGGAAAGAAGAAAAAAAAAACCAGCGUGAAAAUAGAAAAAAGAUAUCUAGUUGAAGCUGGCUGCUACGAUUUAGUGAGAGAGACUGCUGGGAUGGAAUGCAACCUUCUGAAACGUUCCAUGCCAGAAACCUACCACCGCCUCUCUCCUACCUUCACCUUGAUAGACUUACACAGGGAUAUAUUUAACCCCGCGUGUUGCUUGGUGAAUGUGUUUUAUGCCAGAUCCUCAGGGCUCGCAAAAAGUUUUCUGCAAGGAACGGUACUAGGAGAAAGAAGGAGAGGCAGACGACGAUGGGAAAACAAUAGAAAGUAUUUAGGAAUUUUUAGAUCUGUCAAUGAGCUCAAGACUCUAAUCCUGGCAAAAUGACAGAGGAAUGGAGAGACACUGUUGUCAUAUCAUGUGUGGUGCCCCCAAACAAUCCAACAGAUUAUGGGACAGAUCAUUGUAAAGGAUUUAUAUAGUAGAUUCGAUCUCGACUUCUUUCUGUUAGAUAGUCAAGCUAGGCCACUGACACUCUGCAUUAAGAUUAAUAUUUUGCCAUCUUGAAAUUUUAUCCCUUCAUUCUUAAAUAUGUUUAAUGGCCUAUAGUAAAAAAUGAGACAUGCAUGAUAACAAACUGUGAAACUCAAGUGUUGACUAGUAAAAUGGUUUCAUUAUGAAAAGAUUAUAUUCUACUAUGGAACACGACCCCAAGACUAGUCUCACUCUGUUUAACAUGAGUUAGUGAAAGUCUCCAUCUUAUGUUUCACUAGAACAUCAAGGACACUGAUAAGGACUCUUGUACACAUUCGAAAAACACGAACAAUUAUUUGUAUGAUAUCUGGCUCGUAUCAAGACCUCUGUGUAAAGUCCCUCAAUGAACUUCUCAUUCGUAGAAUGUUGUUGUUUUAAUUGAAAAAAAAAAAGAGUCCUUGUAAUCACAACACAUUUCCAAAAAAAGGAUCAAUGUCUUAGUCUUACCAUACAUGAGUUCGAUAAUAAUUUAAACUUCAGUAUUGUCAAUAAACAUAAACGAUUUAGUUAAACUUAACUGGGCUUUUACAAAUAUAUAAUAAGACACUCUAACAACUGCAAGAUUAGAAUUAUAGGAACAAGAAGUCUCCACAAAGGUCAGAAGUACAAAGUUUCUUAGUAUUAAAUAUUUUUGUUUUAACUUAUGAAACAAAGAAUAUUUAUCUUUCUAUAUUGAGUUGUUGCUAUUGAAAAUAUUUUUUUUUCUAUCUUGAGAAAUCUCUUUUUGUUUUUUGCACAAACCCCGAACGUUAUUCUACAAUGAAUCUUUAUAAGAUAAUUGUGGAAACUCUUGUGUUCAUAGCUAUACAAAGUUGCCAGACAUUAAAAGUAAGAUUUAACAUCUUAUCCAACUAAUAUAUCCGUGUCAGGCUGAUUUAGGAGCUGGAUUCUUAUAAAACGCCAAGAGAACUUUGGAAAAAACCAAACAUGAAUUAAAACGACUUGAGCACAAUAGAAUUUGAAUGAUAACCCGGACAUUUGGUGAUGGUGAGAAACACUAGCCACCCCACCCACUUUUACAUUGUCUAUUUAAUAAUAUACGAAUAUAUUCCUGUUUUAUUUUUGUUUGUUUUUCCUUGAGUAUCGGAAGUUUGGAAAUAUUAUAUAACU
Molecule: long non-coding RNA, 1766 nt
Organism: Biomphalaria glabrata
Lineage: Eukaryota; Metazoa; Mollusca; Gastropoda; Planorbidae
Exons: 3
Source: RefSeq, a predicted model, not a curated record